ACGCUAGCUACAGGCUUAACACAUGCAAGUCGAGGGGAAACGGCAUUAAGUGCUUGCACUUUUUGGACGUCGACCGGCGCACGGGUGAGUAACGCGUAUCCAACCUUCCCAUGACUAAGGGAUAACCUGCCGAAAGGCAGACUAAUACCUUAUGGUCUUCACUGACGGCAUCAGAUGUGAAGUAAAGAUUUAUCGGUUAUGGAUGGGGAUGCGUCUGAUUAGCUUGUUGGCGGGGUAACGGCCCACCAAGGCAACGAUCAGUAGGGGUUCUGAGAGGAAGGUCCCCCACAUUGGAACUGAGACACGGUCCAAACUCCUACGGGAGGCAGCAGUGAGGAAUAUUGGUCAAUGGGCGAGAGCCUGAACCAGCCAAAUAGCGUGCAGGAUGACGGCCCUAUGGGUUGUAAACUGCUUUUGUAUGGGGAUAAAGUCAGUCACGUGUGAUUGUUUGCAGGUACCAUACGAAUAAGGACCGGCUAAUUCCGUGCCAGCAGCCGCGGUAAUACGGAAGGUCCGGGCGUUAUCCGGAUUUAUUGGGUUUAAAGGGAGCGUAGGCUGGAGAUUAAGUGUGUUGUGAAAUGUAGACGCUCAACGUCUGACUUGCAGCGCAUACUGGUUUCCUUGAGUACGCACAACGUUGGCGGAAUUCGUCGUGUAGCGGUGAAAUGCUUAGAUAUGACGAAGAACUCCGAUUGCGAAGGCAGCUGACGGGAGCGCAACUGACGCUGAAGCUCGAAGGUGCGGGUAUCGAACAGGAUUAGAUACCCUGGUAGUCCGCACAGUAAACGAUGGAUGCCCGCUGUUGGUACCUGGCAUCAGCGGCUAAGCGAAAGCAUUAAGCAUCCCACCUGGGGAGUACGCCGGCAACGGUGAAACUCAAAGGAAUUGACGGGGGCCCGCACAAGCGGAGGAACAUGUG
This 919-nucleotide ribosomal RNA is filed under the name uncultured bacterium. RNAcentral's name for it is "bacterial SSU rRNA". It matches the Rfam family "Bacterial small subunit ribosomal RNA", at positions 33 to 943 of the family's 1533-position model. The record is from RNAcentral.